This 501-nucleotide ribosomal RNA is filed under the name uncultured bacterium. Its description in RNAcentral is "partial 16S ribosomal RNA". It matches the Rfam family "Bacterial small subunit ribosomal RNA", at positions 29 to 523 of the family's 1533-position model. The record is from RNAcentral.
AUUGAACGCUGGCGGCAUGCCUUACACAUGCAAGUCGAACGGCAGCACGGGUGCUUGCACCUGGUGGCGAGUGGCGAACGGGUGAGUAAUACAUCGGAACGUACCUUAUCGUGGGGGAUAACGCAGCGAAAGCUGUGCUAAUACCGCAUCCGCCCUGAGGGGGAAAGCGGGGGAUCGCAAGACCUCGCGCGAUUAGAGCGGCCGAUGCCUGAUUAGCUUGUUGGUGGGGUAAAAGCCCACCAAGGCGAAGAUCAGUAGCUGGUCUGAGAGGACGCUCAGCCAAACUGGGACUGAGACACGGCCCAGACACCUACGGGAGGCAGCAGUGGAGAAUUGUGGACAAUGGGGGCAACCCUGAUCCAGCAAUGCCGCGUGAGUGAAGAAGGCCUUCGGGUUGUAAAGCUCCUUUGUCAGGGAAGAAACACCGGCUCUAACACAGUCCGGGAAUGACGGUACCUGAAGAAUAAGCACCGGCUAACUACGUGCCAGCCGCCGCCGUAA